AGCGCCAGCCCCACCACCACUAUUUCCAAAAGGUUACACCCCCUCACGAACACAGAAUCGGAAAAUGGCCCUAAAACCCAACAAAUGGGGUGUAAUGACCCAACUAUUCUAGACCUUGGACUAUUAAUAACUACUAUACUAAUCAUGAGAAAGCGUACAUGCGAAAACAUCAUAACUUUAUUAUGUAAAGAAAAUGUUUGAAUACAUAAAUAUUUUACUUAGGAUAUGGGAUUCCAUUAUUUUGAAAAUAAAGCAAAACAUAACUUAAAUAAAUGAGUUACAAAAUUAAGUGCGGAAAAUAAUACAUAGAAAUCAUAAUUUAAAAACUUAAGACUUCAUUCUCUAAUCGAACACUCAGUCAAUCGAUUUCAAUCCAGUCUUAAUACACAACUCCAAGCUGCCAAAAAACUUUUCGCUGCUGUUGACCCACGAUUUGGCCAACUGACACGGAGUCAAAAUAUGGAUGAUUUGAUCAAAUAUAAAGAAAAUAAUAUAAUGACGAAAGUGAAGAAAACACAGCAAUUUAUAGUGGUUCGGCCCCAGGAUCUGGUAAUGACCUACGUCCACUUAGAAUUAUAUUGAUAUGAAAUCAGAAGUGUGAUCAGAGAACUCGGGUUCAAUGAGUUUCAACACUUCACUUAAAGCAAUACAAGUGUUUUGGCAGAAAUUCUAUCUUUCUCUCCUUUUUUCUCUCGUUCAAAAGAAAAGUCCCCCUCACCUUGAGCUAUUUCUUGCUAUUUAUAGGCUCAAGGAGGGUUACAGAUUAUUUGUUGCAGAUAUUAUCCCCUGAAUAGUGGGAUACUCGGAAGAUUGCAUGAGAUAAUAUCGGGAUUUACAAAGAUCUUCCCAUAAAUGUCGUUCUGCUAGUGGAACCACUGACCAGACUGGUCGCGGUAUAGAUAGGCUUGUCAUGCUUCUGGUGUGUCUCCUGGUCGAUACUCUAGCAGAUGCUUCCAGGUGUCAGCCACGUAUCAAGAAUUUACUUGCCACGUCAUAAAUGCUAAUUUACCUGAUAACAUUUGCCCCCCAAAGUUUAUUUAUUACGAACAGUGAAUAAACUUUGAACGUAUGACCUUUCGGUAACCCCUUCUGACGUGUCAGGACCCUUCGUGCAUUUUUGAAAAAAAACAAACUACUCCUGUCUAAUCAUGGCUUUUCAGUUCCCCAAAAACACUUUUGACGGCUAUCAUGUUUCCCCAUACAUCGAAAAGGGAAACUCAAUGAUCACGCCUUUUGAAUAUCAGAGACAAACUUAUAUAAGAUCACCAGAGCCAUUUCUUUCCUUUUCACGCACGCCAUUACUCUGUCGAAAACCCUAAAAACCAGAGCCUUACCUUCUCCGGCGAACGUUCUCCUGUGCUUUCUAGACUCAGACGGUGGGCUCCUUGACUCCCGAAGCUCUUAAUUCCAUCUCCACGAUCAUUUUCCUUGGUAAGUUUUUUGAAACUUCAUGCUUCUAAUUUCUCGUGGUGCAUGCUUUUAAAUGAUGUACUGUUUGAGUCUCUCGGUUUUUAGUUUGUGAACACUUGCAGAUAAGAUAUUUUUGUAGACAGAGUAGGCUUAUGAGUAAGUUUAAGACCCAGGAUCAGUGCUUUUUAGGACGUAAAAUCGAAGUUGCACUUCGAUUCUUAAGCCAGUUGAAAAUAAUUUUUUCCCGCCCUAAGAGGAGUUGGAAAAGCUAUUUCAAGAAAACUUUCCACUUUCACCCUUUGAUCCGCUUCUUAAACUGUUCGCACAGAAAGAUUUAGUUUCUUGUUAGAAUGCUGUUAUAUAAAGGCUUUAGCUUUUAUAUUCGACCAGUGUUAUUCUGAAAACCUUCUAGACUCCUCUGACCUCGCCUCCCCAUUCUUCUGUUUGCAGAUUUUAAUGCCAGAUUUGUGGGGAGGUGAGAGACCCAUCGACGACGACCUCCUCGCCCAACUGCUCGAGGGAGAAGAUCAACCAGCUGACCGCGUCUACCAGAUACCUUUCUCACGAACUUCUUCCAGGCCGCACCCUUCUCCUCCAAUGGCUCGUUCAAAAUCUUCUGGCAAGAAAAGGCCCGAGUCUGAAAGUAACCCUUUUUCUCCUGCCCAGCCUGAUUCGCAGGCGGGGGCUCCCUCGACCAGUGGUCGAGAGAAUCUUGUUCCUGACCCUAAUAUCCAAACUAGGGCUCGUCCUCGCCAUCGGAAUCCGCCUGAUGUCGAGUGGUAUACUCCCCCAGCCAGUUCGAUGACCCCUUGGAUGGUCGCCAACUGCUUCAGAAAAUACCCCCUAACGGGGGUAACCAUUACACGCCCUACUGCGGACCUCAGUGCCUGGUCCCGGUAUCAUAUUGAAGCGGGGUCUUAUCUCCCUCUUCAUUCUUUCUUUGUGGGGGUGGCCAAUUAUUUCGGCGUCGCUCCCUUUCAAAUAACUCCUAAUGGAUAUAGGAUGUUGGCUGCACUCUAUGUCUUUUACAAGCUUAACAAAUGGCCAGAACCUUCACCUCAUGAGGUUAACUACCUUUUUGACCUCAAGUCCAAUCCUCAACACAACGGAACAGGCUUUUUUCACUUCUGUCACCAGGAAACCGGCCGGACGUUUUUGAGUGGCACCACCCAUAUAUCGAACGUGGGGCAUUACAACAAGGAGUAUUUCUUUACUCCGGAUAUAGCCAGUAGCAACUUGGCCUUCGCGAGAGGAGGUAUAAAUUUAUUUGUCUUGGUUGAUAUUUUAUCACGGAGUAUUUCCUUUCAUCAUCUCUCAAACUUGAUCUGCUUUUUAGGCCCUUGGUUACGUCCGACCCCGACAUCAGACAUGGUGUCGAGGUCUAACACCCUGGCCAAGAUGUCUGCUGCAGCCAAAUGUGUCAAAACUCUGACACUAGAAAAGAACUUGAGGUCUUCUGGCCUUCUGGCUCCUCGCCAUGAAAAUAGAGGGUCCGUAGCGGACGAACCUACUGCCGAGGGGGUUCCCGAGCAGCAUCCUCCUGUGCCCUCCCCUAGGAGGAGGCCCACAGGAGUUACAAUCAGGGAACCCACAGGCAGUCCUUCUGCAGAAAGGCCUUAUGCUCCCCAAGGCAAGGGGAAAGAAAAGGCCACAGAUACUGUCGUUGACUUGGAGGUGUCUUCUGAUGACAAUGGUAACGUUAUUUCGCUUUUAAAUGAUUUGCCAAUCCCUUGUCAUAUGUUUGACGGGGAUGGUAACUUUACAUAUGCGCCCAAUCUAGGGCCAAACUUCUUCGUGCCAGAAAAUGAGUAUAUGAUUAAUAGAGUCAAUAGUAUGGCGACCAGUAGUUGUAGCUCGGAAAUGUCGACUCCCAAUAUUUUUGACAUGUACCAGGCCGAAGAGGAAGAGGAAAUCCCUCAACUUCAACGGAGGUCAAAGAAGCGGACUGGUGAAACCAGUCAAGGUCCUUCAGCUAAGAAGAAUCGACCAGAGGACCUUACUCAGGGUACACCAACUGGGCGAAGUCCUGCGCCAACUGGGCGAACUCCCACUCCUCCUCCAGCUCCUUCUGAACAGCAAAAUACUCCUGCUCGAUCCAACCCUUCACCUGCGCCUGCUAGGGAGCAGCUUUCUCGCGAAGAGGCCCAUGGGGCCAGGCUCGUGAGCCGUGCCAUCCUAUCCGCCAAGGACCGAAUUGAACGCAUAGGCAAAGGUGAGCGUAUUGGGACCGCCAUGAUCCAAGCUGAAGAGCUACCAGUCGACCAGAUCCUGAACAGGGCUCUGAACGAGAUCUCCAGCGCCUUACUUUCUGCCAUUACUGCUCGUACCCGAGCCCAGGCCUAUUAUGAGCAGAUUGAGGCUAAAGUUCUUGAGAAACAUCAGGUGAAGGCGGCCGAGGAACUUUCGGCUGCUGAGGCCAAACAUGCUAAGGAGUUGGAGACGGUGGUCCGAGAGAGGGAUGCAGCGGUAACCAAACUGUCCGCGGUUGAAGCUGUAAAAGACGCAGCAGUUAAGCUGAGGGAAGAGUACCGGUCGUACAACAAAACUCAUCUUCGCGAAAUCAAGCAUCUGGAGGGGGUAGUCAAGUCUAAAGACGAGACUAUCGCCACUCUUGAGGGGAAGGUGCAGCGGCUGGAGCUUGAUAACUCCAAGAAUCUGGAAAAGUACAAAAGGACGACACUCCGAUGUUUCUAUAACUUCUGGAAACACAAUCAGGGUGCUGACUUUAGUUACCUUUCGGAGGAAGUCAGAGCUGCGGAGUUGGCCCGGUGCGCUGCUCAACUGGCUGAUGAGGAGGCAAGAGCUGCGACUCCUGCAACCCCAAGCGUUGUUGGUUUGGAAGAAGAAACCAUCGAGGAAGUGACUGAUCAGGUUGUUGCCCAGGACCCUCCUGCCCCCCAUGCUUCUUAAUUUAUUUAACUAUCUUUCUUUUUUGAACAUGCGACCCACGGGUCGUGAUGUAAAGACAACAAUUUUUUUUUUUUAAACUUUGCUGCACGGGCAGUAAAUCUUUUUGUUCGAACAGUUACAUCCAAGCAGCAAUGCUUGCGGUGUAAAAGCUUAACUCUUAGUGCUAUAAUAUUUUUACUUAUUAUAACGUUUGUCCGUAUGACCGAACUUAGCAUAGUACUUGGACAUGAUUUAACAAAACAUAUAUUUUGAAAAAUACUCUAAGUACUUGAAGCAUGCUUUCACUCAUUUUGUUAAUGUGUUUACAUACCUUGAGAGUAUGCUUUGCUAUCGAUGUGCCUUAUAUGCCCCCCAAGUGAUCGAGGAGCUUUAGGUCCUUGGUCACUUGCCUUGACCAUGGCCUGUCCGAACAUUCCUGUUCGUGCGGAAAAAUGAUACUUGUAAUACAGCAAAACAACACACGUAAUGAACAAAUACUUGCAAAUGUAAAUUCACAAAGGUUGGCAAGAACGACUGGUUGAGCACAGUCCCUUAUAAUUUCGUAUUAAAAAUGGACUAAUCAUGUCUUUACGAGCGAUUCUGAAAUAUAAUCUUACAUAUACGAGCAGUUAGCCACACAACGUGGCUAACCCUCUUUGCAAAACUUGUAAAAGAAAAUUUAAACAAGCCAGUCCUUUAAGAAGGGCUGUUCAUUGAUAAUACUUGCGCAGGUGUUCUCCAUUCCAAUAGCGUGGAACGAGAUCUCCGUUUAAGCGCGCGAGUUUAUAGGUGCCUGGGUGAAGGACUUCUUCAAUUUGGUAAGGCCCUUCCCAGUUAGGUCCGAGCACUCCAGCUGUGGGGUCGCGGGUAUUCAAGAAAACUCGUCGUAACACCAAGUCUCCGACGUUGAAUCUUCUUUCUUUAACUUUGGAGUUAAAGUACCGGGCGACUUUUUGCUGAUAAGCAGCAACUCGGAGUUGAGAUUUUUCUCUUAUCUCGUCAAUUGAGUCUAAGGACUCCAGCAUUAGUUGGCUGUUUUGGUCUUGAUCGUACGUUAAAUGCCGAUGUGAGGGGGGAUUUAUCUCGACGGGUAACAUGGCCUCAUACCCAUAAGCUAAGGAAAAUGGGGUACGUCCUGUGGCUGUUCGAUGAGAUGUUCUAUACAACCAGAGGACUUCAGGUAGUUGUUCUGGCCAUGCUCCUUUAGCUUCUUCAAGUCUUUUCUUCAGGGUGUCCUUGAGGGUUUUGUUUACAGCUUCGACUUGCCCAUUCGCUUGGGGGUGUGCGACUGAAGAAAAGCUCUUAAUUAUCCCAUGCCUUUCGCAGAAAUCGGUGAACAAGUCGCUGUCAAAUUGGGUCCCGUUGUCUGAUACUAUCUUUCUGGGCAAACCAUAGCGGCACACAAUGUUCUUGAUGACAAAGUCGAGAACUUUCUUGGUCAUUAUGGUUGCGAGUGGUUCAGCUUCGACCCAUUUUGUGAAGUAAUCGACCGCCACAACUGCGUACUUUACUCCUCCUUUUCCUGUUGGUAGUGAUCCAAUUAAGUCUAUUCCCCAUAUUGCGAAAGGCCAUGGGCUCUGCAUCUGCUUUAAUUCGUUUGGAGCGGCUCGUGAGAUUUUGGAGAACCUUUGACAUUUAUCACAUCUUCGUACGUACUCCAUUGAAUCCUCAUUCAUUGUUGGCCAGAAAUAGCCCUGUCGGAGAACUUUUUUCGCCAAACUCUGCCCCCCAGCGUGAUCUCCGCAGAAGCCUUCAUGCACCUCUUUCAUGAGUUCUUUUGCUUUUUCUGAUGUAAUGCACCUGAGCAGUGGCAUUGAAUAUCCUCUUCGGUACAUAACACCGUCGAGCAGUAUGUACCUAGCAGCUUGCCUUUGCAGAGUUCUGGCUUUGUUUCUAUCUGCUGGCAAUGUCCCAUUUGUCAGGUACUCCAGGUAAGGCGCCAUCCAUGUAUCUUCCAUACGAAUUUCCAUGCUGGCUUCGGCCGCAUCAAUGCUUGGUUCACUUAAUCUCUCUACUGGGACUAUAUUCAAGGCGUCAGCAUCUUUAGCACUUGCGAGUUUGGCCAAGGCGUCUGCAUUCGAAUUCUGGUCUCGCAGAAUCUGCUGGAGGGUGUACUUUGUAAACUGUGCUAGCAAAUCUUUCGUUUUGUUGAGGUAAGCCAUCAUCUUUAAUCCUCGCGCUUGAUAUUCUCCCAGGACUUGAUUCACGAUCAGCUGAGAGUCGCUGUAAACAUCGAGCGCUUUUAUAUUCAUAUCCCUAGCCAUUCUCAGCCCAGCGAGGAGUGCCUCGUAUUCCGCUUCAUUGUUUGACGCUGCGAAGUCAAACUUGAUUGCGCAGUGAAAUCGAUGCCCUUCGGGCGUUAUCAAUAUCACUCCCGCUCCAGCGUGAGAUUCAUUAGAUGAUCCAUCCGUGAAUAGCUUCCAUGAAGGAGUCUUGUCUUGAGGCAUGGACGCUUCAGGCUGUUCGCACAACUCGUUGUUGGGGAGUUCUGUGAACUCCGCAAUAAAAUCGGCCAGGACUUGCCCUUUUAUUGCUGCUCGUGGUGAAUAAGUUACGUCGAACUGUCCUAAUUCGACCGCCCAUUUUAACAGUCGACCGGCCGCCUCCGUUUUUUGGAGUACUUGCCGAAGGGGCUGGUCGGUCAGAACCGUGAUAGGAUGAGCUUGGAAGUACGGACGCAACUUUCUGGAGGCUAGAAUUAGGCAAUAUGCUAAUCUUUCGAUCGGAGGAUAUUUUAAUUCCGCACCGAUGAGCCUUUUGCUGACGUAAUAAACAGCUUUCUGUACACCUUCUUCCUCCCGUAUUAGUACUGCACUAGCAGCAACUUCGGUAAUUGCCAGAUAAAUAUAUAAAGUCUCUCCUUCGAUUGGUUUUGAUAGGAUGGGAGGUUGCGACAUAUGAGUCUUUAAGGUCUGGAAUGCUUGCUCGCAAUCCUCCGUCCAUUCAAACUUCUUAUUUCCCCUGAGUAGAUUGAAGAAUGGAACGCACUUGUCAGUUGAUUUUGAGAUGAAUCUACUCAGGGCAGCGAUCCUUCCGGUCAGGCUUUGUACAUCCUUGAUUUUCUUCGGCGACUUCAUGUCGAUCAGGGCUUUUAUCUUGUCGGGGUUGGCCUCGAUUCCUCUUGAAUUUACUAUGAACCCCAAAAACUUCCCCGAUCCGACUCCAAAGGAACAUUUGAGGGGGUUUAAUUUCAUCUGAUACCUGUUCAGUACGUCAAAGCAUUUCUGCAAAUCCCUCACAUGUCCUUCUGCCCUUUUGGACUUUACGAGCAUGUCAUCCACAUAUACCUCCAUGCUUAUCCCAAUUAGCUCUUUGAACAUGUGGUUUACCAAUCGUUGGUAAGUCGCACCUGCGUUUUUCAGUCCGAAGGGCAUUACUCUGUAACAAUAUAAGCCCGUAUCGGUUCGAAAGCUGGUGUGAUCCUCGUCAGGGGGGUGCAUGCUGAUUUGGUUGUAACCCGAAUAUGCAUCCAUGAACGAGAGGAUCUCAUGUCCUGCAGUUGCAUCGACUAGCUGAUCGAUCCUUGGGAGUGGGAAGCAGUCUUUUGGGCAGGCCUUAUUGAGGUCUGUAAAAUCCACACAGGUCCGCCACUUGCCGCUUGGCUUGGGGACCAGCACCGGAUUUGAGACCCACGACGGAUAAAACGCUACCCUGAUGAACCCAUUUUCUUUAAGUCUUUCGACUUCUUCUUUUAAGGCCUUUGAUCUAUCUUUAUCGAGCAGCCUUCUUUUCUGUUGCACCGGUGGAAAGGCUUUGUUUAUGUUCAGGACAUGGCUGAUUACUGCAGGGUCUAUUCCAACCAUGUCUUUAUGCGACCAGGCGAAAACUUCUUGGUUCUCUUGCAAGAAUCUUACCAGUGCCUGUUUUGUGGUAGGUUCUAAAUUCUUCCCAACCCUCAUGACUCUGGUUGGAUCUUUUUCAUCGAGUUGGACCUCUUCCAGGUCCUCGAUGGGUCCUAUAUUUUCUUCAAAAUCCCCAAAGCGAGGAUCCAAAUCUAUAUCCUCACUUUGGGCAACACCCUAUUUGGUGACUUUACCACCUGAUUGGGUUUGACCGUCUUCUGUCAUCUGCAAUCGUUCUGGGUUGGUGCUCUUCAACGUUCCACUUUUUGCCUUUGUAAUUGAGGCGUUGUAACAUUCUCUGGCCUCCCUUUGGUUUCCUAAAACGCAUCCUACUCCUGCGUCUGUUGGGAACUUCAUGGCUAGAUGCCACAUGGAGGUGAUGGCCCUCAGCUCAACCAGUAUGGGUCUUCCAAUAACGGCAUUAUAUGCUGAAGGACAAUCGACCACUACAAAAGUGGUGAGUAGUGUCCUCGAGGCAGGCGCUGUACCCGUUGUUACUGGGAGUUUGAUCAUCCCGGCUGGUGCGAGUCCUUCUCCAGAGAAGCCGUAUAUGGUUUGAUUGCAGGGCUCCAAGUCCUUUACAUACAAUUUCAUGCGUUCUAGUGUUGAUUUAUACAGGAUGUUCACUGAACUUCCUGUAUCGACCAGUACUCUUUUUACCAUCAUAUUGGCCAUCUGGACAUCCACGACCAGCGGAUCGGAAUGUGGGAACCGGACGUGCUGGGCAUCGUCCUCAGAGAAGGUUAUACCGUACCCCUCUGAGCGUGCCUUUUUUGGCGCGCGGUCCUCCACAGUCAUCAUCUCGAUGUCCUGGUCAUGGCGUAGAGUUCGAGCAUAUCGUUCUCUGGCCUUUCCGCUAUUUCCCGCGAGGUGCGGGCCUCCACAGAUGGUUAAGAGCGUUCCGGCUACGGGGGCAGGCUGUAAUGGUGGCGAGCGCUGUCGUGUAGAUGUCUGCUCGUUGCCACCUGGAGCUUCUCGUUGGGAAGUUCCCGAGGCCCGUACGUACCUUCUCAAGUGUCCUUGUCUUAUAAGGAACUCGAUUUCGUCUUUUAACUGGUUGCAUUCAUUAGUGUCAUGUCCGUAGUCGUUAUGGUAACGACAGAACUUGGUGGUGUCUCUUUUCGAAAUGUCCUUUCGAAUGGGCCCAGGUUUCUUGUAAGGCACACUAGAGCUCGUGGCCUGGUAAACCUCUCCUCGAGACUCGAUGAGGGUAGUGUAGUUAGUGAACCUAGGUUCAUAACGAUUACCCUUGGCACGUUUAUUGUCGGAGGUGGAUGGCUCGUUAUAUGGCCGUUUCCCGCCAUUUUUGCCAUUACCGUUGCCGUUUUUAUGACCUUUGUCGUUGCCAUUAGGUUUGGACCCAUUGGCGGCUUUGGAAGGUUCGGCGGCCUUUUUACCCUUGUUCGAGGGUUUCCCAUCGUCAGUAAUGGCUUCCUCGAGCUUUAUGUAACGAUCGGCUCGAUCCAAGAACUCUUGGGUUGUUUUAACUUCGUCCUUACGAAGACUUUUCCAAAGGGGCGAACGGCGCCUUACUCCCGCGGUUAUAGCCAUCAUUUUUCCUUUGUCUCCGACUGCCGCUCGCAUAAAACGCUGGAUGUAAUCCUUUAGUGAUUCCCCAUCCUUCUGGCGGAUCUCGACCAGUUGGUUUGCUUCGGUCGGGUGGACACGACCUGCGUAGAACUGUCCGUAGAACUCCCUUACGAACAUUUCCCAGGAAACUAUGCUUGCCGGUGGGAACUUAAAGAACCAUUCCUGCGCGGCUUCAGAAAGUGUUGCAAGAAAGAUCCUGCACCGAGCGUCUUCGGACACUUUCUGAAUGUCCAUCUUGAUUUCAAACUUAUUCACAUGCGAGACGGGAUCCCCGUAUCCAUCAAAGUUCGGGAGAGUAGGCAUUUUGAACUUGCUGGGAGUCUCAGCGUUGGCUAUUCUUUGGAUAAAUGGAGUACCCUUUCUCCUAUCGUGGUCGAUGUAAGAGGUCCUACUUCCGACCAGCUGUUGCACAGCCUGAUUUAGCGCGUCUAUCUGGGCUUGCAACGCAGUGGGAAUAGCUACGGUCUCUGCUGCUGGGGGAAUGUUCUCACCAUGCUUCUCCCGACGAUCAUUGAGUAUGUCUCUUAGAUCUUCUUCUCUUCUCCGUUGCUCGCUACCUCCGAGCCGGUUGAAGACAUUAUUUUGCUUGGGUUGCCCCCCAGCAUCUUGUCUAUUUGGUUGGUCAUCUUGAGGUAUUUGGCUCCUGCCUUUGCCUCUAUUUCCGUUCCUUUCAUCAGCAUUGCCCUUGCCUGAGUCAACCUCGUUGUAACCGUGGCCAUCUUUGAACUUUGAUUGGCUGUGGUAAGAUUGGCUGUUCCCUCUAUUCCCGUCUCUGGCAGAAGCACCUCGAGCGUUAGAGGGUGGCCUGCGCUGGUCGCGAUGUCCCCUUGCAUUAUCAUGUCGUGGGGGUCCACGGACCGCAGAGCCUAACUCCGAGUCCCUCCUGUUACCAGGAGGGUAGUGACCUCUGUUCGCUUGGGGUGGCCCAUCAUUCUCGCGGCGUCUAGGACUACGAGGCUGUCGCUCGGCCCUAUUCUGCCUUUGCUGCGGGGGAUUCCCUCGAGCAGCUUGGGAUGGUGGAUUUGCCUCGGGGUCCAGUGGGACGUCGUCUUGGGGCAUUUGAGGCUGCUCGGGCCUUUGCGGACUUGAAGGAUGGACUGGUGGGCUAGGAUUGGGACUCUUCUGAGGUGGCCCAUUCUCAGGUUGGUUAGGCUGCGAGGCAGGCGCGACCUGAUUUCUGGCCAACAGCAAGGCCGCUUCAAGGGCUGCCAUGGCCUCGGUCUGGCGGCGAUCUACCUCUGCUUGUCUCUCGCUCAACUCCGCCCGCUGACGAUCAAGUUCCUGCUGCUGCCUUGCCAUAGUUUCUGCAGCAGUCUCUUGAUUGGCUCUCAGACUAGCUAAUUCUUCUUGCAAUGCACCCAGGGUGCUCUUCAGCGUCGCGUCGUCCAUUUCCUCCUCUUCAAAAUCCAGUUGCGGCUCAUCUUCCGCCACGCUUGCGGGUGGAGGAGGAGGUGGUGGAUUUGAUGGUGCAGUGGCGGCAGUUUGGCCAGUUUUCCUUCCUGCUUUCGCCAUCGGUUUUCUUAAUAGCAAUGAAUUGUCCUCUCAAUGAAAGCACCAGAAUGUUGACCCACGAUUUGGCCAAUUGACACGGAGUCAAAAUAUGGAUGAUAUGAACAAAUAUAAAGAAAAUAAUAUAAUGACGAAAGUGAAGAAAACACAACAAUUUAUAGUGGUUCGGCCCCAGGAUCUGGUAAUGACCUACGUCCACUUAGAAUUAUAUUGAUAUGAAAUCAGAAGUGUGAUCAGAGAACUCGGGUUCAAUGAGUUUCAGCACUUCACUUAAAGCAAUACAAGUGUUUUGGCAGAAAUUCUAUCUUUCUCUCCUUUUUUCUCUCGUUCAAAAGAAAAGUCCCCCUCACCUUGAGCUAUUUCUUGCUAUUUAUAGGCUCAAGGAGGGUUACAGAUUAUUUGUUGCAGAUAUUAUCCCCUGAAUAGUGGGAUACUCAGAAGAUUGCAUGAGAUAAUAUCGGGAUUUACAAAGAUCUUCCCAUAAAUGUCGUUCUGCUAGUGGAACCACCGACCAGACUGGUCGCGGUAUAGAUAGGCUUGUCAUGCUUCUGGUGUGUCUCCUGGUCGAUACUCUAGCAGAUGCUUCCAGGUGUCAGCCACGUAUCAAGAAUUUACUUGCCACGUCAUAAAUGCUAAUUUACCUGAUAACAGCUGCCAUAACUAUUUUUCUGCACAUAUAAAUAUAAAGGAAUGAGUCUAAUGCCCAGCAAGGAAAAACUAACAACAUAAAUCAUAUAUAAAAUUAUAUCACUCAUAAACAUAUACUGUAUCAUAAACAUAUGUCAUAUACUACUACAAUGCUACAAUAGCCAUUAUACUACUUGGGGCUUGUUAACUAAUCAAGUCAUAUGCCCAUUCAAUUUGUGGGUUUGCUAGCUAAGCAAGUCAUAUGCCCAUAAAUUUAUUGGGGUUUGUUAGCUAUACAAGUUAUAUGCCCAAGUCUACCAACAUACAUAAUAUAACAUUUCAUUACACAACAUAUCAUAAGAUAACAUAUAACAUAUAAAAUCCUAUCCUGUCCUAUUUUCCUUACCAAUAUACCGGGAUAUGAGAACAGUAUCGGGACUUUGGAAAACUCCUAAAAAAACAUAAUAGAAAUGUGAGUAUACUAAAGAAAAAAGAUGAAAAGAAUGAACUACACCAUCGAAAGGAUACUUACCAACAACAAUCUUACGUUCAAGAUCUUAGAUUCCUAACCAAGAAUAAAGAAUACGAGUUAGGAUUUUGAGUAGAAAAACUAUAAGAACAACACAGAAAGGAACUAGAAGAAGGAAUACCUCGAAUGCUUCUAUAACCGAACUACACCUCGAACUGAAAUAUACUACAAACCUUACUUCCCGAGUGUUUAUUAAGCUUAUAAUCCCAACCCAAGUGUUUAUCACUCUAAAAUAACCUAGCAGCUUGCAGACUCUAAACUUAGCUUCAUGAAUGAAUAAAUGGCUGGGUACUAGGUCCUAUUUAUAGAGUUUAAGAAUGGUCCUAUUUAUAGAGUUUAAGAAUGAAAAGAUCUUUAUUUAGAUUGAAUAAAAUAAUGGCUUUUUAAUUGAAAAAUCUUUAAAUAAUCGUUCAGCAGAGGCUGAAGACUCAGUCAAAAAGAUUCUAGACUUAUCAAGAGGUUAAGGAAUAAAAUAAGCCUGGUUUCAAAAACGUUAAAAAAUCUGGCACUACAGUCGAUAUAUCGCCCCUAGUAGGCGAUAUAUCGCCUGGGCUAAUAUGCUUGAGGCUCGUCGACGUGGUCGUGCGAAGUUACGUAUUUUUCGUAUCCCCGUCUGGCGAUAUAUCGCCCCCUAGUGUUGCGAUAUAUCGGCAUAUGCUGAAAUAUUAUACACAUAAUUGCACUUUUUCAGCCUAAUUUGAAUUGAGUAAACAACCUUGACUAAGCUCUCUAAUGAUUUCAAAGCUGCUGGCAGACCCUACGAUAUUCAAAUAUUACUCUUAAUAAAUUUAUUUAUCAAAAUACUUAAUUAUUCAUUAAACAUUCACAUGACAAGUGUCAUUUCCUUAUUAGGUUUAUCUAAAUCUUAUAUUAUAAUAAAUAUCACCUUCAUAAUCAGUUAUAUUAAUUAGACCUUAGGUUAUAAUUAAUAUUCUUAAACUAUAGGUUAAACUUAUAAAAUCUACAAGUGUUACUACGAGUGUCCAACUAAAUCCCGGUCUAAACCAAAAUCCACAGUCAUAAAAAUACUACAACUAUUACUAUUGCUACUACUAUCUAACUAGCUAAGGAAAAUUCUUGGACUCUACAUGGGGAAGGCACAACCACCUCCCCUUGACCCCAUCAUUGAUCAAGGCCCAGCUAAAAGAAUGAAAUUAUGAAUAAGAGGUGCCACAUCGUAAGUUAUAUGUCCAGAAGUAUAUACGUAAAGAUCUGAAGCUAAGUUAAUCACUACAACUUUAAAUAUCCACUAACCCCUAGGCCUUUUUUAGUUGUGGUAAAGAUCUAAAGCUAAGCUAAGUUAAUCACUACAACUUUAUAUUUGUUGUGGUAGUUUUCACUUCAGUUGUUGUACAAGGACAUGAAGAAGAAAUAUAUGUUGUUGGACAAUAAAUUGAGUGUUUUAUUUUAUUUGUAAUUUUUAUUAGAGUAAAUGAUUCUUUGUAAAUACUUUGUAUAAGUUUUGUUAUUUUAAUCUAUAAUUUUUUAGAUUUGUAUAUAAAUCUUUCAUUUAUAUCAUAAUAUUUAAUUUAAAAUAAAAAUAAAUAAUUUUUUUGCAAGCAACGACGACACCUAAUAACUGUCGGCAUUGCCAGCAACGACAACACCUAAUAAUUGUUGGCGUAGACAGCAACAACGACACCGAAUAAUUGUCGGCGUAGCUACCCCUACGCCGGCAUAGGCAAAUACGACAAUUAGUCGACCGUCGUUGUUUCUUAAUAGCGACAAUUAAAAUCUGUCAGGAAAUCCCAUUUUUGUAGUAGUGCUUGAACCAAAAUCCACGAUUGUCCAGGUAAAUGAACAUGGAAGGUGGGACGGAUCCGAGGUGGCUUUGGCAUGUGUAUUGGGUGAGGAACUUAAGGAAUGAACCGAUGGAAUCGAUCGAGGAUGACGCCAAAAUUUGAGUCUUUUAAUUAUAUAUUUAUGAUUUUCGCAUUUAGUACUUGAAUAUUAAAUAAAUGUUUUAUUUUCUUUAUGAUUUUAUGUAUAAACAAUGUGAUCCCGUACUUUUGGAUUUUCUUUAUAAUAAAGUCUUUAUUAUUUUAUGUA
Humulus lupulus (European hop) is the source of this 14445-nucleotide RNA transcript. RefSeq lists it as uncharacterized. NCBI's taxonomy places the organism in Eukaryota, Viridiplantae, Streptophyta, Magnoliopsida, Rosales, Cannabaceae. The record is from RefSeq and is a predicted model, not a curated record. The transcript has 4 exons.